Long non-coding RNA from Cucurbita maxima (winter squash), 310 nucleotides. RefSeq lists it as uncharacterized. The record is from RefSeq and is a predicted model, not a curated record. The transcript is spliced from 3 exons. NCBI's taxonomy places the organism in Eukaryota, Viridiplantae, Streptophyta, Magnoliopsida, Cucurbitales, Cucurbitaceae.
UCGAAAUGUGGAGAUACCUUUCUUUACUGUCACCUGUUAGCUCUGUCCGCCACGGGUUAGCGACAUAAACAAAAUCUAUCUCGCUAAGCUUCAUUCUACAAGCAUUCCUCUACUCUAUUUGUUCAUUCAUUGUUGAGAAAAGGGUAUAUGGAUUCCGGAUCAUAAAGCAAAGGGAAUCCGCGACCUAUGUUGUGACCGAAGAUUGAAUGGAGGUAGUACCAACGAACCAGGAACUGAUAGAAUUGAUGAUUUGAACAGGGUGCUGCAGAAGAAGAAAGAAAAAAAGAAGGUGGAUUGUGAGAUCCCACAU